CAAAUCAUAGAACUCAAAAUAAAUACCGUAAUAUCGGUUCAUAUGAUGUUUUUUAAAUCACCAUCAAUGUCGUGCCAACUAUCUAUCAAAAUAAUCACUUUACUUCUACCUUGUAACACAAUGUAACCCAUAAAAUCCUCAACAUUUCCACCAUAAGCCCUGUCAGUUACAACAUCAAUUGUAAUCGGGUAGCGAAUACCCUUUUCAUGGGAUUUUUCACCUUGUUAUAUACAUCA
This 236-nucleotide long non-coding RNA is filed under the name Lathyrus oleraceus (garden pea). RNAcentral's name for it is "Pisum sativum (pea) long non-coding RNA (PSAT_LNC023611)". Lineage: Eukaryota; Viridiplantae; Streptophyta; Magnoliopsida; Fabales; Fabaceae. The record is from RNAcentral.